RNAcentral lists this long non-coding RNA (3697 nucleotides) under Homo sapiens (human). RNAcentral's name for it is "HSALNT0368945". The record is from RNAcentral. Lineage: Eukaryota; Metazoa; Chordata; Mammalia; Primates; Hominidae.
UGGGGGACAGAGCGAGACUCCGUCUCAAAAAAAAAAAAAGUUAUUGUUUUUAUAUUGUUAUUGUCCCUGGGAAUCUUUGCUAUCGGUGUACUGUGUACUUCCUGCCUACCUCUGAGUUUGUAAAGUAGGUAAAAGAGCAGAUGUGAUUGCUAAGAAUAUAGCAUUGACCUCUAUGUAAAAUUUAUAGGUUCUCACACAGAGUGCUGAGGCUUUUGAUCAGCAUCUUUGAAAGUAUUGCUUGUAUACAUUUCAAGUAAAAGAUCAUUCUAAUUAUUUCAUAGUCAUACUUUACAUGAAAGAGCUUUGUAAAUAAUUGGAAAAUCUUUAACAAGCUUUGAUUAAUAAUGCUGGCUUUAAUUUUAACUUCAUAUUAUUGUUUUCCAAAUGAUUUCCAUAAUAGAGACCAUGGUGGAUCUAAGCAUGAGAUUUUAAGUUCCUGCCUUUCAAAGGUGUGGCUAAAAACAAGGAGGAUAGAAAACACUGUGUGCUGUCAUGCCAAGCUCUCUGUGUAGGGACUUUAUCUUCACCAUUGCAUUUCAUCCUCAAAACAGCCCUGCAAGGUAAGUAUCUGUAUUUUAUAGAUGGGAAAAACUAAGAUUCAGAAAGUUUACAUAACUACAAAUCUGGUAAGAACUAGAGCCGAGAUCCAUUUCCUGCUCUGUCUUUUCUCACAGUUGUUGCUACAAGGCCACUGAGCUGACUCACCACCCCGGGAGUCAGUGAAGGCUUCCCCGAGGAAGCAGUGUUUGAGCUGAGCCUUGAAACAGAAGUAAGAAGACUCCAGGAGAAGGCUGCAGUAGAGGCUAGAGCUAUUUUUCCUGGCAACAGACCCAGAGAGAAGCUCAACACUUGGAGUAUGAAAGGAGAGUUGGAAAGAAAUCAACUGUGGAAUAACUGCUUCUGAAGACUGAAGUCCAAGAUCAAGGUGCCAGCAGAAUUGGUGUCUGGUGAGGUCUCUCUUCUUGUCUUGCAACUGGCUACCUUCUUGUAGUGUCCUCACACAGCUUUCUCUGUGUGCAAGCAGAGAGCAGGGUGGGGAGAGAGAGAAAGAGAGCAAGUUCUGGUGUCUCUUCCUUUCCAGUUCUGUUGGAUUAGAGUCCCACCCUUAUAUCCUCAUUCGACUUUAAUCACUUCCUUAAUGCCCUUAUCUCAAAAUACAGUCAAAUUGGGGGUUAAGAUUUCAUCAUAUGAAUUUUGGAGAGACACAGUUCAGUCCAUAGCAGCAUGGUAUAUCUUUUCCAUCCUUUUACAUAUAACUCAUUUUCUUUUAGUAUGUGAAGUGUUUUUCUUAUAGGAAGAGUAGAGUUGAAUUUUGCAUUUUUACCCAGUCCUAACAAUCUCAGUUGGGGGGUCAAAAUAAUAACAUUUAAUGUGAUUAUUGAUAUGCUAAGGUUUAAAUUUGUCACCUUGCUAUCUGCUUUCUAUUUAUUCCAAGUGUUAUUUGUUCUCCCUUUGUACUUUUUCUGCCUUCUUUUGGAUUAUUUUUAUUAACUCAUUUUAUCUUCUCUGUUGGUUUAUUAACUACAACUUUGAUGGAUACACACACACGCGCGCACACACACACACACACACACACACACACGUUAUUUUGACUCCCCCAGUUGAGAUUGUCAGGAUUGCAUAAAAAAGCAAAAUUCAACUCUAUUCUUCCUAUAAAAGAAAAAUACUUCCCAUACUAAAAAAAAAAAAAAUGGUUAAAUGUAAAAGGUUGGAAAAGGUACACCAUGCUGCUAUGGACUGAAUUGUGUCUCUCCAAAAUUCAUAUGGCAAAACCUUAACCCCCAAUUUGACUGUAUUUUGAGAUAAAGGGAUACAUUAAAAUACAUUUAAUCUCAAACAUAUUUUUUCAUUUCUAGAAGUUUGAUGUAUACAUUUUAAAUAUCUUUUAGUGUCUCUACUUAAGUUUUUGAACAUAUAUAGCUGUAAUAGCUGUUUUAAUAUCCUUGUUUGUUAAUUUUAACAUCUGCCUCAGGUUUGGUUUGGUUUCAGUUGAUUGUUUUCCCUUCAUUAUGGUCAUGUUUUACUGCUUCUUUGCCUUCCUGGUCAUUUUUUUAUUGUAUGCCAGACAUUGUAUAUUUUUUUCCUAUUGAGUGUUGAAUUUUUUUAUUUCUAUAAAUAUUCUUGAGCAGUUGAGUUGUUUGGAAACAGUUUGUGUUUGGGGAUCAAACCUUUAUGAUUUGUUAAUCAGGACCAGAGAAGUGUUUAGUUUAGGGCUAAUUAUGCUCCACUACUGAGGCAAGAUUUCUUUGAGUACUCUACCAAGUGAUUCAUGAAUUAGGAGAUUUUCUAGUCUGGCUGAUGAAAGUAAGCCCUUUUCCAGUCAUGUGUAAGAACUUGAUACUGUUCCCCUUAAUCCUGUGGGAUGGUUCUUUUCCUUAUCUGCGGUUGUUUCCUCUUAUGCAUGUGAUAAUCAGUAGUGUGAUGAAUACUUGAGAGGAUCCCUUUACAGAACUUGCCAUCAUAUUUUUCAUAGAGAAUAUCUUGCAUUAGCUGAUUGAAAUAUUUAUUCUUGAUUGGUACUUGGCAGUCCUGUUUACUACCUGUCCUGUAUAUGGAAUAUCACUGCCAACUUUAGCGGGGGGGGAUGGGACUGGGUGGGCAGUUCCUGCAAAAACUUCAAAUGACUAAUUAGAAAUGUCAGUGGCAUUUUCUCCCUCAGAAACAUCGCUGUUUAGGAUCGUGAAUUUUCUUUUACUCAUAUUUGAUUCGAUUAUCUUUCUUUCAAAGAAUUUUUCUAGAAUGAAUAUUUUACUUGUAUAUUAGGAAUAGUUUUUAAAUAAUCAGAACACAACUGCUCUCCUCAAUUAUCAUCAUUCUCAUUACUCAUUCCAUUUCUCUGGCUGGCAGCCUAUGGACCACUGGAAGGCCCGGCCAGGGGUGUGGUCAUCAGGACUUCCCAAAAGCACAUCUCCUUCCUCUGUGGCUUGACUGUGUGCCUCUCCUCUCGAGCUGCAACUGUACCAUGAGUCUCCCUUCCAGAUCAAAAGGAAGAUCCCGACCGCAGUCCUUUGGAAUAAGAUUUGCUAGUAUUCAAUGUUCUUUCUUGUGUCUCAACUCAUAUCCAUAUUUUCUUCUCAGAAUUCCAUAGGUUUAGCCCUUUGGGGGUUUUUACUUUUUUCUUCUUAUUUUUUAUACUGCCUGUUCCUACUUUAUGCUGUGUUUUACCCAUAUUUAUGUCAUUUUAAUCAGUUCCAUAAGACUGUGUUUGAACUCCCCACCUCCACUUGCUUUUGUUUUGGGUGAUGACUGUGCUGUCCACCUCUGCCACUUGUUUCAGGCCCUACUACUUUUUCCCUCCAAUGUUCCUUCUUUUGUGUCUGCCAUCUAUUAUUGCUGAAUACGUUAUUGUCGUUUUUGUCUUCUUAUUUUAUUUUCUCCUCUUCUUCCUUCAGUGGAUGUCUUGAGAUGUUCUUGCUUCUUAUGUUCCAUGUUUGCUGACAUAGGGCAAAACUAAGAAUCUGCGACAAGACAAGCUGCUUUUUCCUCUAUCAAAGCUGCCUUCAUCGGGCAGCUGUCCUUCAUUCUCAAUUACUUUAUCUACUCUUUUUUGCCUUUUUCACAUCCAACCUGUAAUCUAUAUUUUCCUUUCUUCAGCUAUAUCUUAAACUGUUAAAAUAGAGCCUGACAUGUAGUACACAUUCAGUAAAUAUCUGUUGAAUAAAAGAAAACAAUAAAUGAAUGAAUGGUUGUUUGGUAA